Molecule: ribosomal RNA, 513 nt
Filed under: Sericoderus sp. 2 CO606
Lineage: Eukaryota; Metazoa; Arthropoda; Insecta; Coleoptera; Corylophidae
Description: partial 16S ribosomal RNA
Rfam family: Bacterial large subunit ribosomal RNA (bases 387-513)
Source: RNAcentral
GUCUUUUUGAUUUAUAAUUUAAAGUCUAACCUGCUCAAUGAUAAUUUUAAAUAGCUGCGGUAUUUUGACCGUACAAAGGUAGCAUAAUCAAUAGUUUUUUAAUUGAAAACUGGAAUGAAAGGUUGAAUAAAAAAAUAACUGUCUCUAAUUUACUUUUUUAGAAAUUUAUUUUUAAGUUAAAAAGCUUAAAUUUAUUUUAAAGACGAGAAGACCCUAUAGAGUUUAAUUUUUAAUUAUUAAUAAAAUUUUAUAGAAAAAAAAAUUUAUUUUUAAUUAAAAAUUUAAUUGGGGUGAUUAAAAAAUUAAAUUAACUUUUUUUAUUUUUAAACAAUAAUUUUUGGUUUAUUUGAUCCAUUAAAAUGAUUAAAAGAUUAAAUUACCUUAGGGAUAACAGCGUAAUUUUUUUUAAGAGUUCAAAUCGAAAAAAGAGAUUGCGACCUCGAUGUUGGAUUAAAAUUUAUUUUUGGUGAAGAUGCUAAAAUAUUAGGUCUGUUCGACCUUUAAAAUUUUACA